UUCAUGAAGGGUGUGGCAGAACACACCUGUUACCCUAUGAAUACUCUUCUCUCUCUGAAGGGCAGAGGUAGAACCCCGGAAAAUCCUGUGCCACAAAACCACUAAGAACACCAGGAAUGUGCUCUAGAUGUUAAGCCUAUGCUGGCAGCAACCCAGAAAGCAGUCACAUCUCAGUAAAAACGAUGCCUGGACGAGAAGCAAACGGAGAAACUGCUUGGAUAAUACUUAGACUAUGAAUACACAUAUCAGCAUCGGAUUGUUCUUACAGAA
Non-coding RNA from Mus caroli (Ryukyu mouse), 270 nucleotides. NCBI's taxonomy places the organism in Eukaryota, Metazoa, Chordata, Mammalia, Rodentia, Muridae. The record is from RefSeq and is a predicted model, not a curated record.